Molecule: ribosomal RNA, 255 nt
Filed under: uncultured bacterium
Lineage: Bacteria
Description: partial 16S ribosomal RNA
Rfam family: Bacterial small subunit ribosomal RNA
Source: RNAcentral
GACAGAGGGUGCGAACGUUGUUCGGAAUUAUUGGGCGUAAAGAGCUCGUAGGCGGUUUGUCGCGUCUGCCGUGAAAGUCCGGGGCUCAACUCCGGACUCUGCGGUGGGUACGGGCAGACUAGAGUGAUGUAGGGGGAGACUGGAAUUCCUGGUGUAGCGGUGAAAUGCGCAGAUAUCAGGAGGAACACCGAUGGCGAAGGCAGGUCUCUGGGCAUUAACUGACGCUGAGGAGCGAAAGCAUGGGGAGCGAACAGG